This 417-nucleotide ribosomal RNA is filed under the name Triticum aestivum (bread wheat). RNAcentral's name for it is "partial small subunit ribosomal RNA". Lineage: Eukaryota; Viridiplantae; Streptophyta; Magnoliopsida; Poales; Poaceae. The record is from RNAcentral.
AUGCACAUUGGGCAUUACAGGGGAUUCAUAUUUGAGGCCUACUGGGCAAGUCUUAAUGGUUUCAAAGAUGUGGUCCAAAAGGCUUGGUGCAAGCCUGUUUUUUCAACUGGCGCUGUCAAGAAUCUGCAUAUCAAGCUAUCUAGGACCGCAAGAGUACUGAAGCAAUGGAGUAACAGUCAUGGACGAGAGCAGAGAUUUAAGGAGAAGCUUGCAACAGAGGUGAUUUUCCAAUUGGAUAUUGCUCAGGAGGACAGGGAGUUGACUCAUGUUGAAAGAGCAUUUCACACCACCCUCAAAAACAGAUUGCUUGGGUUUGCAGCAAUUGACAGAGCUCGUUGGAGACAAAGAUCAAGGGUUAUCUGGAUCAAAUCUGGUGAUGCUAAUACCAGGUUAUUCUACUUAAGGGCAAAUGGGUGA